UACGGAAGGCAGCAGUGGGGAAUAUUGCACAAUGGGCGAAAGCCUGAUGCAGCUAUGCCGCGUGUAUGAAGAAGGCCUUAGGGUUGUAAAGUACUUUCAUCGGGGAGGAAAACAAAACUAAUAAUUUUAUUUCUUGACGUUACCCGAAAAAGAAGCACCGGCUAACUCCGUGCCAGCAGCCGCGGUAAUACGGAGGGUGCUAGCGUUAAUCAGAAUUACUGGGCGUAAAGAGCACGUAGGUGGUUUUUUAAAGUCAGAUGUGAAAUCCCUGGGCUUAACCUAGGAACUGCAUUUUGAAACUGAAAUACUAGAGUAUCGUAGAGGGAGGUAGAAUUCUAGGUGUAGCGGUGAAAUGCGUAGAUAUCUGGAGGAAUACCUGUGGCGAAAGCGGCCUCCUAAACGAAUACUGACACUGAGGUGCGAAAGCGUGGGGAGCAAACAGGGAUUAGAUACC
RNAcentral lists this ribosomal RNA (454 nucleotides) under uncultured bacterium. RNAcentral describes it as "bacterial SSU rRNA". It matches the Rfam family "Bacterial small subunit ribosomal RNA", at positions 340 to 786 of the family's 1533-position model. The record is from RNAcentral.